CGGAUGUUAGAAACACUGGCCAAUUCCAAUGCCAAUAUUCAAGGGCCAAUUAAUGACAUCCCAUUGCAAGUUGUACAACCGAACAUGAUAACAACAUAUGCUCCACUAGCGUCAUCGAACCAAGUACCCUCUGUAUCAAUAGGACGACCAAAAUCAUUUUCUAAUCCUACAUGGAACAAGCCUAGUAGGUAUAUAUCGAUGGAGACACCCAAUAUGCGUGAUGGAGGUA
RNAcentral lists this long non-coding RNA (229 nucleotides) under Physcomitrium patens. Its description in RNAcentral is "long non-coding RNA (PPAT_LNC010261)". Lineage: Eukaryota; Viridiplantae; Streptophyta; Bryopsida; Funariales; Funariaceae. The record is from RNAcentral.